Molecule: ribosomal RNA, 301 nt
Filed under: uncultured bacterium
Lineage: Bacteria
Description: partial 16S ribosomal RNA
Rfam family: Bacterial small subunit ribosomal RNA
Source: RNAcentral
CAGCCGCCGCGGGAACACGAAGGGGGCUAGCGUUGCUCGGAAUGACUGGGCGUAAAGGGCGCGUAGGCGGCUUGCACAGUCAGAUGUGAAAUUCCUGGGCUUAACCUGGGGGCUGCAUUUGAUACGUGUGGGCUAGAGUGUGAAAGAGGGUCGUGGAAUUCCCAGUGUAGAGGUGAAAUUCGUAGAUAUUGGGAAGAACACCGGUGGCGAAGGCGGCGACCUGGUUCAUGACUGACGCUGAGGCGCGAAAGCGUGGGGAGCAAACAGGAUUAGAUACCCCCGUAGUCCCUGUCUCUUAUAC